GGUUAUUCUGGAAGUGAUGAAGAGGAUGAGAGAAUAUUAUGACCUGAUGAAGAGCCCAGUGUGAGGUGAAACUUCAAAAAUCAAGAGGAGCCUAGAGCGAGGUGGAGCUUCAGAUGGAGGUGGAUCGGCAUAAGAUGCGAGACUCGAAAGGAUGAGAGGCGAUAUCACAUGGUGAGAUUCCUAUUAUCGCAAGAGGAUACCCCGAGU
Molecule: long non-coding RNA, 207 nt
Filed under: Elaeis guineensis (African oil palm)
Lineage: Eukaryota; Viridiplantae; Streptophyta; Magnoliopsida; Arecales; Arecaceae
Description: long non-coding RNA (EGUI_LNC035069)
Source: RNAcentral